AGAUCUACACUUUCAGACCUCUACACUCUGGUGACAUGAUCACUGCUAACCCCCUGGCCAGCUGCCACCAUUCCUGAACUGCAGCCUCACGCUGGCUCCAGUCACUGCUGACCCCACCGUUUUGUGUGACACAGAACUGAAUAAAGCCAUGGUGGUGUCAGAGCCACAAUGGGGA
Long non-coding RNA from Chiroxiphia lanceolata (lance-tailed manakin), 175 nucleotides. RefSeq lists it as uncharacterized. The transcript has 3 exons. Lineage: Eukaryota; Metazoa; Chordata; Aves; Passeriformes; Pipridae. The record is from RefSeq and is a predicted model, not a curated record.